GAAUCCCGUCUUUGACACGGACUGCCUGUACAUUAUGGUGUGCUCUCGAAGAGUCGAGUUGUUUGGGAAUGCAGCUCAAAAUGGGUGGUAAAUGCCAUCUAAAGCUAAAUAUUGGCGAGAGACCGAUAGCGAACAAGUACCGUGAGGGAAAGAUGAAAAGAACUUUGGAAAGAGAGUUAAACAGUACGUGAAAUUGCUGAAAGGGAAACGCUUGAAGUCAGUCGCGUUGGCUAGAAAUCAACCUUGCUUUUGCUUUGUGUACUUUCUGGUUGACGGGUCAGCAUCAAUUUUGACCACUGGAUAAAGUCUUUGGGAAUGUGGCAUCUUCGGAUGUGUUAUAGCCCAUUGUCGCAUACGGUGGUUGGGAUUGAGGAACUCAGCACGCCGCAAGGCCGGGUUUCGACCACGUUCGUGCUUAGGGUGCUGGCAUAAUGGCUUUAAUCGACCCGUCUUGAAACACGGGCCAAGGAGUCUAACAUGCCUGCGAGUGUUUGGGUGGAAAAACCCAUGCGCGCAAUGAAAGUGAAAGUUGAGAUCCUCUUCAAAGGGGGAGCAUUGACGCCCGGACCAGACCUUUUGUGACGGAUCCGCGGUAGAGCAUGCAUGUUGGGACCCGAAAGAUGGUGAACUAUGCCUGAAUAGGGUGAAGCCAGAGGAAACUCUGGUGGAGGCUCGUAGCGAUUCUGACGUGCAAAUCGAUCGUCAAAUUUGGGUAUAGGGGCGAAAGACUAAUCGAACCAUCUAGUAGCUGGUUCCUGUC
Molecule: ribosomal RNA, 760 nt
Filed under: uncultured Inocybe
Lineage: Eukaryota; Fungi; Basidiomycota; Agaricomycetes; Agaricales; Cortinariaceae
Description: partial 28S ribosomal RNA
Rfam family: Eukaryotic large subunit ribosomal RNA
Source: RNAcentral